Molecule: RNA transcript, 3789 nt
Organism: Solanum tuberosum (potato)
Lineage: Eukaryota; Viridiplantae; Streptophyta; Magnoliopsida; Solanales; Solanaceae
Gene name: serine/arginine repetitive matrix protein 1
Exons: 15
Source: RefSeq, a predicted model, not a curated record
UUUUCCAAAAAAAGAUUGAUGUUAUUAGAAGCUUAGGGUACGCCGCAGGUCCGUCCGUCCCUAGAGCGGGUGAUGCAUCUUUUUGGUGGUCUCAUGUCGUAAAAAGAUUGGAGCUAUAUCCCUUCCAAAUAAAAAACUAAGCGUUCCAACUUGCAAUCAGAGUAUCUGAGGAAACCCUAAAACAUGUCGGGCGGUUUUUUUAGGGGGACUUCUGCUGAGCAGGACACUCGCUUCUCUAAUAAGCAAGCUAAGUUGUUAAAAUCUCAGAAGUUCGCUCCUGAAUUGGAACAUCUGGUGGACAUGACAAAGGUCAAGAUGGAUGUAAUGAAACCAUGGAUUGCUAAGCGAGUUACUGAGCUUAUUGGUUUCGAAGAUGAAGUGCUUAUCAAUUUUAUUUAUAGCCUUCUUGAACGAAAGGUAGCUAAUGGCAAGGAGCUUCAAAUUUCACUUACUGGAUUCAUGGAAAGAAACACUGGAAAAUUCAUGAAAGAGCUUUGGGCAUUACUACUUAGUGCACAGAACAAUGCCAGUGGUGUUCCUCAACAGUUCCUAGAAGCCAAAGAAGAGGAAAUGAGAAACAAGAAGGCUGAGAUGGAUCGAAUUGCAAACGAGAUUCAGAAGAAAAAGGAGAGAGAGAACAGGGAGCUGGAUCAAGAGAAAAGGAAGAAGAUGGAUGAUUAUGACAGCAAUUUGAGACAGAAAAAUGCUUCACGGGAGCCAACUCCAAAACAACAGCUUCAAGUGCGCUUGAUGGAUGAUUUAGAUCCUGUUGAGAGAAACGGAUCAAGAGUAAGAAACAGGGUCUCUAAAUCCCCACGGUCAGCAGAUCAUUCACUCUCCCCCAGGAAAUCAAGGUCAAUCAGCAAGUCAUUCUCCAAUUCGAGGAGUUACUCUGGUGAAAGGCACAGGUCACGAAGUACAUCCGGAUCUCUAGAAGAAAGGAGAUGUCGCUCUGUUUCAUCUGAAAGGGCAUAUCGCUCUGCACCAAAGUGUUCUGUUUCACCUCGUAGGAAACAUUCACCUCGACAAUCCCAUUCUCCACCAAGGCAUAGGCGAAGAUCAACCUCUCGAGUACGUCGAAGGUCACCUUCUCCUGCAAGAUACCGAAGACAUUCUCCAUUCCGACGUAGAUCAAGGUCUCCGCUUCGACGUAGAUCAAGGUCUCCGCUUCGACAUAGGUCGAGGUCUCCCAUUUGGCGUAGAUCACGAUCCCCUAUAUGGUGUAGGUCAAGGUCUCCAAGUAGACGCUCACCAGUGCGAUACAUAUCAAGGUCACCUAUUAAACGUCGAUCACCACUUCGACGCAGAACACCAUCUCCAACGCAACGUAGGUCCCCUUCUCCAGUGAGUCGGGGGUACCACCGAUCUCCAUUGAGUCCUCGGCAAAGUUCUCCAUUCCUAGUUCAACGAAAACCCUCCAUUUCUGGUAGGAAGAGAUCCUUAACCCCUGCCAGAAGGUUUCUUUCAUCUCAAGAAUCACUUUCCCCAUCACCCAUUUACCGCAGGUCUCCUUCACCAAUCAGAAAGAGAAUAUCGAAGAAUGAAAGGUCACCAGUUCAAUCUCUUCGAGGAAGGAUAAGGAGCCGUGAGAAAUACUCCUCUGUUCGAUAUGCUUCACCAGUAAAAACUGAGGCCCAUAAAGGAUCCAGAUCUUUGGAACGUAGACGUCCUACUUCUUCUGGGUCACCACAGAAGAGGAUAUAUGACCGUAAGGAUUCACGAGAAAAAGAGCUGCCUUUGCCGCCUCAGCUAAGCCGGUCACCAUCUGUUCCAGAAUCUCCACGUCGCUCUAGAUCUGACUCAGAAUCUCCACCAACCAAAAGGGGAAGGAGUCCUAGUGAAGAUAGAGGGCCAAGGAGUACUUUGAACCGGAGGGAGAUAAAGACAAGUGACUUCGACAGCCUUAGUCCAAGUAAAUUGAGAGAGCAGAAAGUUAGUUCUGACAUUUCUGAGAAAAUCACAGAUCAGAAAGAAAUGAACCAUUCAAGGGAGGCUUUUGAGCAUAAACCUAGGUCUUCAAGAAAAAUUCCCACAACACCCGAUCCAUAUAAAGAUCUUGGGAAGGGGUUUGUCGAGAAAGAAUUUUCAGACAUUCAUAGCCGUUCAGAUCGAUUGGAGUCGAGAAAGCGAAAUGAAGCGAUUAAGAGUGAAAAAUUUUCAGGAACUAUGGAGCACACAAAGGAACUGGAUAAACAAAAGUCACCAUCAACUCAUAGACACUCUCAUUCAGUUAAAAGGUUAAAGGAAUCAUAUGAUGGGGAGAGUGUCAAAGCAGAUAAGGAAAACCUGUCUCACACAAACGAUACCAAGGGCAAAGAGCUACAUGUUGAGUCCGAAGCUCCCCUCACUUCAUCAAAGAAAGUUGAGCAGAAUGAUUUAAGUAGUAAUGAGGGUUCUGGUUUCGAGGAAAGUGAAAAGCGUAGAGCUAAAAUUAAGGAUAAAAGAAAGCAUAAGAGGUCUGACAGAUAUGAGUCAACGUCAGAUGAUAGUUCUGAUUCUGAUGUUGAGGAUAGGAAGGAGGCUAAAAAGAGAAGGAAAGAGGAGAGAAGAUUGAAGAAAGAGGAGAAGCGUCGCCGGCGGGAGGAGAGGCGGCGCAGAAAGGAAGAAAGACGUUCCCAGAAACUAAAAUCGAAGUCAGCUAAUGCCAUAUCCUCGCCUUCAGAUACAGAUAGGAAUCCUGAUAAUCAUGCUUCUGAUGAUGAACAUCUGAGGAAAGAGGGUCAACAUGGACGUGAGAUUGAGGAGUCAGAGUCCUUGCAGAAAAGACUUGAGAUUGAGCUACGGGAGAAGGCUCUCGAGUCUCUUAGAGCAAAAAAGGGUGUCAGUCAUUAAGAUUGUUGCUUCUUUUGGACAUUAUUAAGCUGUCAUUCUUGUCCUAAUAGUCCUUUUCUUUCAGCUUGCUUUAUCAAUCUAGAACUGAAUAUUUAUCGUCGAUGUGUUGUUUAUGCAUAUUUAAUGUAGUCUAUCUUUACCUCUGGCAGCUGAAUUGCAUAAAAGAGGGUUUCCUGAGCUAGUGUGUUGACUUCAACUUUAUGCUGACAUACCUGCUAAACCUUCUGAUCAUUAUAUUUUUCACUAGAUGACCUCGUUGAGCAGACUUGGCAACUCCAUACAUGGGUCUCCAAUGCAGCCAUGAAGGCUAAAGGACAAGGCGAGGAUGAAUCUAUAAAAAAUAGGCCAAAAACAUUGAAAAUAGUGUAAAAUUCCAGCCAAGGAUCGCCUAACUCAAAGGGCGGAUCGCCAAAUAGCAUGAUCUCUGCCAAAAUUGACAGUGUUCAAUGAUAAAGUACCAAACCAAGUCGGCGAAGUAAGAAUAACUUUGUGAUCCACCGAAUGUGAAAAGGCAAGCACAUUUCAUCGCCGGAAGUGACAGAUUGCUGAGCCAAAAUAAGGGCUAAACUAGGUGAACAAGGUGGAAAUCGGCGAUUCGCCCAAUGUGAAAAGGCUGACUCAAUUGAGUUCGCCGACAGAGGUUCAAACACUUGAAGCCUGAAGUCAAGAAAAGGCGACCUGAAGAAUAGAACAACGAUUCGCCAAUCGUGUUCGGCGAGGCCGACUAAUGUCGCCGAAUAGGUCACACAUGGAAUUUCGGAUUAAAUUUUGGGAAAAUUAUAAAUAUCCCAAAGGAGAGAAAAUAGAUGACGAUUCUAAUCUUGAUACUACACUUUUUACUGAUUCUAAUUUAGGAGAUUAAGAAAUUGACUUUUUCUACCUUUCUCUUAGUUUUGGGGUUGGAACACUCUUGUAAUUGACAUUUGAGGGUUGAAUUUGAUGUGGGUGUUGAAAUUA